This 2235-nucleotide ribosomal RNA is filed under the name metagenome. Its description in RNAcentral is "bacterial LSU rRNA". It matches the Rfam family "Bacterial large subunit ribosomal RNA", at positions 699 to 2925 of the family's 2925-position model. The record is from RNAcentral.
GUUGCUGGGUGUAGACCCGAAACCGAGUGAUCUAUCCAUGGCCAGGUUGAAGGUGCCGUAACAGGUACUGGAGGACCGAACCCACGCAUGUUGCAAAAUGCGGGGAUGAGCUGUGGAUAGGGGUGAAAGGCUAAACAAACUCGGAGAUAGCUGGUUCUCCCCGAAAACUAUUUAGGUAGUGCCUCGAGCAAGACACUGAUGGGGGUAAAGCACUGUUAUGGCUAGGGGGUUAUUGCAACUUACCAACCCAUGGCAAACUAAGAAUACCAUCAAGUGGUUCCUCGGGAGACAGACAGCGGGUGCUAACGUCCGUUGUCAAGAGGGAAACAACCCAGACCGCCAGCUAAGGUCCCAAAUGAUAGAUUAAGUGGUAAACGAAGUGGGAAGGCCCAGACAGCCAGGAUGUUGGCUUAGAAGCAGCCAUCAUUUAAAGAAAGCGUAAUAGCUCACUGGUCGAGUCGUCCUGCGCGGAAGAUGUAACGGGGCUCAAAUCUAUAACCGAAGCUGCGGAUGCCGGUUUACUGGCAUGGUAGGGGAGCGUUCUGUAGGCCGAUGAAGGUGCAUUGUAAAGUGUGCUGGAGGUAUCAGAAGUGCGAAUGUUGACAUGAGUAGCGAUAAAGCGGGUGAAAAGCCCGCUCGCCGAAAGCCCAAGGUUUCCUACGCAACGUUCAUCGGCGUAGGGUGAGUCGGCCCCUAAGGCGAGGCAGAAAUGCGUAGUCGAUGGGAAACAGGUUAAUAUUCCUGUACUUGAUUCAAAUGCGAUGUGGGGACGGAGAAGGUUAGGUUGGCAAGCUGUUGGAAUAGCUUGUUUAAGCCGGUAGGUGGAAGACUUAGGCAAAUCCGGGUCUUCUUAACACCGAGAAGUGAUGACGAGUGUCUACGGACAUGAAGUAACCGAUACCACGCUUCCAGGAAAAGCCACUAAGCUUCAGUUUGAAUCGAACCGUACCGCAAACCGACACAGGUGGGCAGGAUGAGAAUUCUAAGGCGCUUGAGAGAACUCGGGAGAAGGAACUCGGCAAAUUGAUACCGUAACUUCGGGAGAAGGUAUGCCCUCUAAGGUUAAGGACUUGCUCCGUAAGCCCUGGAGGGUCGCAGAGAAUAGGUGGCUGCGACUGUUUAUUAAAAACACAGCACUCUGCUAACACGAAAGUGGACGUAUAGGGUGUGACGCCUGCCCGGUGCUGGAAGGUUAAUUGAAGAUGUGCAAGCAUCGGAUCGAAGCCCCAGUAAACGGCGGCCGUAACUAUAACGGUCCUAAGGUAGCGAAAUUCCUUGUCGGGUAAGUUCCGACCCGCACGAAUGGCGUAACGAUGGCCACACUGUCUCCUCCCGAGACUCAGCGAAGUUGAAGUGGUUGUGAAGAUGCAAUCUACCCGCUGCUAGACGGAAAGACCCCGUGAACCUUUACUGUAGCUUUGCAUUGGACUUUGAAGUCACUUGUGUAGGAUAGGUGGGAGGCUUUGAAGCAGAGACGCCAGUCUCUGUGGAGCCGUCCUUGAAAUACCACCCUGGUGUCUUUGAGGUUCUAACCCAGACCCGUAAUCCGGGUCGGGGACCGUGCAUGGUAGGCAGUUUGACUGGGGCGGUCUCCUCCCAAAGAGUAACGGAGGAGUUCGAAGGUUACCUAGGUCCGGUCGGAAAUCGGACUGAUAGUGCAAUGGCAAAAGGUAGCUUAACUGCGAGACCGACAAGUCGAGCAGGUGCGAAAGCAGGACAUAGUGAUCCGGUGGUUCUGUAUGGAAGGGCCAUCGCUCAACGGAUAAAAGGUACUCCGGGGAUAACAGGCUGAUUCCGCCCAAGAGUUCAUAUCGACGGCGGAGUUUGGCACCUCGAUGUCGGCUCAUCACAUCCUGGGGCUGUAGUCGGUCCCAAGGGUAUGGCUGUUCGCCAUUUAAAGUGGUACGUGAGCUGGGUUUAAAACGUCGUGAGACAGUUUGGUCCCUAUCUGCAGUGGGCGUUGGAAGUUUGACAGGGGCUGCUCCUAGUACGAGAGGACCGGAGUGGACGAACCUCUGGUGUACCGGUUGUAACGCCAGUUGCAUAGCCGGGUAGCUAAGUUCGGAAGAGAUAAGCGCUGAAAGCAUCUAAGCGCGAAACUCGCCUGAAGAUGAGACUUCCCUUGCGGUUUAACCGCACUAAAGAGUCGUUCGAGACCAGGACGUUGAUAGGUGGGGUGUGGAAGCGCGGUAACGCGUGAAGCUAACCCAUACUAAUUGCUCGUGAGGCUUGACU